This 568-nucleotide ribosomal RNA is filed under the name uncultured bacterium. RNAcentral describes it as "bacterial SSU rRNA". It matches the Rfam family "Bacterial small subunit ribosomal RNA", at positions 338 to 916 of the family's 1533-position model. The record is from RNAcentral.
CCUACGGGAGGCAGCAGUGGGGAAUUUUGGACAAUGGGCGAAAGCCUGAUCCAGCGACGCCGCGUGUGUGAAGAAGGCCUUCGGGUUGUAAACCUCUUUCAGUAGGGAAGAAGCGUAAGUGACGGUACCUGCAGAAGAAGCGCCGGCUAACUACGUGCCAGCAGCCGCGGUAAUACGUAGGGCGCAAGCGUUAUCCGGAAUUAUUGGGCGUAAAGAGCUCGUAGGCGGUUCGUCGCGUCUGCCGUGAAAGUCCGGGGCUCAACUCCGGAUCUGCGGUGGGUACGGGCAGACUAGAGUGAUGUAGGGGAGACUGGAAUUCCUGGUGUAGCGGUGAAAUGCGCAGAUAUCAGGAGGAACACCGAUGGCGAAGGCAGGUCUCUGGGCAUUAACUGACGCUGAGGAGCGAAAGCAUGGGGAGCGAACAGGAUUAGAUACCCUGGUAGUCCAUGCCGUAAACGUUGGGCACUAGGUGUGGGGGACAUUCCACGUUUUCCGCGCCGUAGCUAACGCAUUAAGUGCCCCGCCUGGGGAGUACGGCCGCAAGGCUAAAACUCAAAGGAAUUGACGG